Molecule: ribosomal RNA, 483 nt
Filed under: uncultured bacterium
Lineage: Bacteria
Description: bacterial SSU rRNA
Rfam family: Bacterial small subunit ribosomal RNA
Source: RNAcentral
CGUCAGGAUUAACGCUGGCGGCGUGCCUAAUACAUGCAAGUCGAAUGGUAGUAGCAAUACAAACCAUGGCGAACGGGUGAGUAACACGUAGGCAACCUGACUUUAAGACGAGGAUAACCGUUGGAAACGACGGAUAAUACUGGAUAGGACAUCACAAAGGGCAUCCUUAGAUGUUUAAAGGUUAUUAUGCCACUUAGAGAGGGGGCCUGCGGCGCAUUAGCUAGUUGGUGAGAUAACAGCCCACCAAGGCGAUGAUGCGUAGCCGGACUGAGAGGUUGAACGGCCACAAUGGAACUGAGAACGGUCCAUACUCCUACGGGAGGCAGCAGUAGGGAAUUUUCGGCAAUGGGCGCAAGCCUGACCGAAGCAACGCCGCGUGAACGAAGAAGUUAUUCGUAAUGUAAAGUUCUUUUAUCUGGGAAGAAAAAACAAAUUGACGGUACCAGAUGAAUAAGCUCCGGCUAACUACGUGCCAGCAGCAGC